RNAcentral lists this long non-coding RNA (1165 nucleotides) under Gallus gallus (chicken). RNAcentral's name for it is "lncRNA (ENSGALG00010012698.1)". The record is from RNAcentral. Lineage: Eukaryota; Metazoa; Chordata; Aves; Galliformes; Phasianidae.
CGUUCCCUCGCGCUGCCACGCCAUAGGCGCGGAGCGGAGCCGUGCGCGCGCUCUCCGCCAAUCGGCGAGCGAGCGCCGGUCUCCUCCCGGCCAAUCGGGCGCGGGGGGCAGCGGGAGGCGCGUCGCGAUUGGCCGGCCGCCCUUUGCCUCCCUUUCUCGGCCGCCCGCCGUGCCCGCGCUCGAGGCCCGCGCCUGGCGCUCCGGUUCCGCCGUGCCGCCGGCACCGCUGGGCUCGGUGCCCCCUGGGCAGGACCCCGGCCCCCUCCCCGUCCCUCGCUCAGUGACAGAUAACCAAAGGAGUCCCCGUGCCGCGCGGCGGCCUCGCGCCCCGGAGACGCCCCCCCUCGUCCCCUCCCGCCCUCGCGGUGCCCAGGGAGCCAGGAAAGCCUUACGGUCCUUUGACGGCGACUCGAAAGCUCACAGCUCGUGUGCUGCAGAAUUUAUUCCAAUGAGCAGCUACAAGUAUCAUUUAAGAAGAAAAAAAAAAAAAAACAAAAAAAGAAAAAAAAAAAAACCCAACAACAAAAAGACAAAAAAAAAGACAAAAAAAAAAAAAACCUUUAAAAAAAAAAAAAAACCCCAACAAAAAACCAACCAAUUAUUUAGGGUGUUUGUGAUUGCUGACUGCGCUGUAGAUACCACUGUUUACCAAUGAUUUCCUGUGGUGGGAUAGUGGACUGUUUACUGUUCUAUAUACCAGUCCGUGGGCCUCCGGAGCGAGCGCGGCUCCCCGGCAGGCGCCAGGACGUGUGUUCUGUGUUAGAAAGUUUUUAUAUAUAUAUAUAUAUAUAUAUAUAAAUAUAUAUAUAUAAUUUUUUUUGCUCUGUUACUUGCACAUUUUACAGUUACCUCAUUUUUCCCAUGUAUGUAUUUGAAAAAAGGCUAAUAUAUAGAAAAAAAAAAAAAAGGUUCUUAAAGCUCUAAAAGUGUUUGGUUUUUUUUUCCAUUCCAUUGGAAUCAUAUUGGUUUUGUAGCAUUUAACAUAACUAGUAUGUUGUAUUAUAUAUAUGUGUAUUAUACUGAUUGAAAUUUUUAACAGAUUUGUACUUUUUUUAAAAUGAAAGUUGCUAGUUCUGCUUGACCAAGUAGUGCAAUCAUUAUUUUUUUUAAUGUUGUGGCUGAUUUUGAGAGGGAUAUUCACUAAUAAAUGUAUGAUGUAUACCAA